CCACCCCACCCCCUACCUCCAGACCUCCCCAACUCCUCGCCUCCCCACCUCGCUGCCUCUUGGCGUCAGCGAAGGCUCUGCUGCCUGCAGGGCAGAGAGGAGAGGGAGGAGGCCAGCGAGAGGGAGCCUCUGUCGGGGCGUGGGAGGAAAGCAAGAUAACGCAGGCGACCCGAGAAGGACGGUGAAUCUGACUGGCCAGACUGGGAAGUCCAGGCCUUCCAGAGGCUGGGGUUCAUCUAGAGACCUGCUGAGGAGGGGCCACACUCGCCUCUUUUGCUCGCAGCAAUCUAUUCUGCCAGGGGAUUCCCUGGAACACAAGAAUCCUGGGGCUCUAAGGGACCCUAAAGAGCGUCUGGUCCUGCUCCUUCCUUCAUCCGUGACGAAACUUGGGAUGGGAAGGCUGUUCAUGCUGGGUUUCCUCUGGGAGUGAGACCUCAAGACAACUGUGGCAGUUCCUGAUAGAAACACUAAAUAAACGAGGUCCUCUGUGGCAAGGGCUAACGCUUCCAGAAGCUUCUGAAUAGAUCAUUCUAUUUGACAAACAGUUAUAAAAUGCACACUAUUACCAAACACUGUGCUAGAUGGUGGUAAGAGAAGCAUGACUAGAAUGGAAUGUUAGGCUUUUUGAAGCUUAUAAAUAAGUGGGUGAAAUUGGUCAUGAUUAACUUUGACGUAUGAUAGUGGUGGUGAGUAAUCAGGCAGAGGUUUGCCCAGAGUGCUAUAGGAGCCAGCAGCUUGGAGAUCCAGGGAGGCUUCUUACAGGAAGUGACCCUUGGUGUGGGAAGGGUUUUCCAUAAAGGGAAGACAGCAUGAGCAAAAGCUCAGAGACAUUAAUCAGCACCGAUUGAAUCAUUCAUUCAUGUCUACAAUAAUCACCACUCACUAGGUGCAAAGUAAUGUACAGAAUCUAUGCAAGCCACAUCUAGCAUAGAUAAUAAGUUAUCAUUUCUAUAAUCAAGUUGAUUCCAAU
This 970-nucleotide long non-coding RNA is filed under the name Homo sapiens (human). RNAcentral describes it as "HSALNT0183962". The record is from RNAcentral. Lineage: Eukaryota; Metazoa; Chordata; Mammalia; Primates; Hominidae.